RNAcentral lists this ribosomal RNA (251 nucleotides) under uncultured bacterium. RNAcentral's name for it is "partial 16S ribosomal RNA". It matches the Rfam family "Bacterial small subunit ribosomal RNA", at positions 524 to 776 of the family's 1533-position model. The record is from RNAcentral.
UACGUAGGGUGCAAGCGUUAAUCGGAAUUACUGGGCGUAAGCGUGCGCAGGCGGUUUGUAAGUCUGUCGUGAAAGCCCCGGGCUCAACCUGGGAAUUGCGAUGGAGACUGCAAGGCUUGAAUCUGGCAGAGGGGGGUAGAAUUCCACGUGUAGCAGUGAAAUGCGUAGAGAUGUGGAGGAACACCGAUGGCGAAGGCAGCCCCCUGGGUCAAGAUUGACGCUCAUGCACGAAAGCGUGGGGAGCAACCAGG